ACGAAUCCGCGCUCCCCCAGGCUGUCGCGCGAGCUCCCCGGAAGCUCCCACCUGAGCGGCGCAUCCUCAGGGCCUGGGCCUGGCCUCCUUGCCUGUGAGAUGGCACUGUGACGGUGCCCACCUCGUGGGGUGUGUGAGGGCCGAGUGAAAUCGUGCAUUUGCGAUGACCAAGUCGGCCCACUGCACCACCACGAUACUGACGAAGAAGGCUGUGUGGCAGGUGAACUCCACGAUUUUCCUCUGCUCAUAGGUCUGAAAUGCAGAAGACAGAAGAUGAGCUCUGGCUCUUCACCUGCAUGGCUGGUGGCAGUGUGGCCUCAGUCUUCUGGGGCUUGAGGAGCUCUGACACUGGUCAGGUCAGAGGUGCCCACUCACCCACUGCUGCCCGUAGCUGUCUUCCACAUCGUUGAUCCAGCGGUCAUCCCAGUCCACUCGGAGGCCCAACAGGUGAAUUGGGAGGAAGCCGUUCUCAGCCAGAAUCACAAACUUGCCCUCGCCCUCCGUGUACCCAUCGAUCUUCAGACCUGGUACUUGUUGGUGGAGUUGAAGGGUAUCUCGACGAUUUUGGCGUAUCUUUCUCUCAUCUCCUUCACGGAACCACAGCACAGCUCUAUGCACUUUAAGAGUGCUGACUCAGAGGCAUCUCC
Molecule: long non-coding RNA, 647 nt
Filed under: Homo sapiens (human)
Lineage: Eukaryota; Metazoa; Chordata; Mammalia; Primates; Hominidae
Description: HSALNT0294861
Source: RNAcentral